UGCUAUAGAAGCUGAAAGAUUUAGUGUUGGUCUUGUAAACCAAAGGUUGGAAACAAAAACUUCCCAUAGCAU
RNAcentral lists this transfer RNA (72 nucleotides) under Dracogyra subfuscus. RNAcentral describes it as "tRNA-Thr". It matches the Rfam family "tRNA". From Rfam's summary of the family: Transfer RNA (tRNA) molecules are approximately 80 nucleotides in length. Their secondary structure includes four short double-helical elements and three loops (D, anti-codon, and T loops). Lineage: Eukaryota; Metazoa; Mollusca; Gastropoda; Neomphalida; Peltospiridae. The record is from RNAcentral.